GUAAAAGUCGUAACAAGGUUUCCGUAGGUGAACCUGCGGAAGGAUCAUUACCGAGUUGUCGACACGAGUUGUCGCUGGUCCUCAAACGGGGGCAUGUGCACACUCUGUCCACACAUCCACUCACACCUGUGCACCCUCUGUAGUUCUAUGGUCUGGGGGGCGCGUCGUCUCCUCCCUCCUGUAGCUCUACGUCUUUACACACACACCGCAGCAAAGUCUUAUGGAAUGUGCGCCGCGUUUAACGCAAUACAAUACAACUUUCAGCAACGGAUCUCUUGGCUCUCGCAUCGAUGAAGAACGCAGCGAAAUGCGAUAAGUAAUGUGAAUUGCAGAAUUCAGUGAAUCAUCGAAUCUUUGAACGCACCUUGCGCCCCUUGGCUAUUCCGAGGGGCAUGCCUGUUUGAGUAUCAUGAACACCUCAACUCUCACGGCUCGCCGUGAUGAGCUUGGACUUUGGGGGUUUUGCUGGCCUGUGUGGGUCGGCUCCUCUCAAAUGAAUCAGCCUUCCAGUGUUUGGUGGCGUCACAGGUGUGAUAACUAUCUACGCUCGUGACUGUCUGCCAGGUAACCUUCCACAAUGGGGGUUUGCUGGAGCUCACAAACGUCUCUCCUCAGUGAAGACAGCC
This 626-nucleotide ribosomal RNA is filed under the name uncultured fungus. Its description in RNAcentral is "eukaryotic LSU rRNA". The stretch from base 256 to 410 matches the Rfam family "5.8S ribosomal RNA". The record is from RNAcentral. Lineage: Eukaryota; Fungi.